Molecule: ribosomal RNA, 222 nt
Filed under: uncultured bacterium
Lineage: Bacteria
Description: partial 16S ribosomal RNA
Rfam family: Bacterial small subunit ribosomal RNA
Source: RNAcentral
CGAACGGGUGAGUAACACGUAGGAACCUGCCAUGAAGUGGGGGAUAACGCGGGGAAACCGGCGCUAAUACCGCAUGAUGUGCGAGAGCAAGAAAGCAGCAAUGCGCUUUAUGGGGGGCCUGCGGCCGAUUAGCUAGUUGGUGAGGUAAAGGCCCACCAAGGCGACGAUCGGUAGCUGGUCUGAGAGGAUGGUCAGCCACACUGGGACUGAGACACGGCCCAG